RNAcentral lists this ribosomal RNA (3887 nucleotides) under Glandulina sp. 1015. Its description in RNAcentral is "bacterial SSU rRNA". It matches the Rfam family "Eukaryotic small subunit ribosomal RNA". Lineage: Eukaryota; Foraminifera; Glandulinidae. The record is from RNAcentral.
CUCAAAGAUUAAGCCAUGCAAGUGGCUAUACACAACCCGACAGUUUAAAUUAGUGUUAAUACUAUUUCAAUUACACAAACUCAUACACAAACAUAUACAUCACUUACUAAUGUAAGUCACAACGCUUAAGUGAAAUGAAAUUUGACUAUCAUAUCACUAACGCAACUGCAGACAGCUGCUUAAUACAGUCACACUUGUCUUGACUUUGCACUGAUUCUAUUGAAUUUGUCAUUUGACUCACAAACACACACAUACAUGCACAUAUACACACACAAACGAAGUGCACAGAUAAUGAUUUAUUCAAACAAGAAAAAUAUUUUCUUGGAUUCCCUUACUGAUUUUUGUUUCAAAAAUCAAGUAAUUCCAAAAAAUACAAAAACACACAUUUUAUGGAUAACUCAGGGAAAGUUUGGCUAAUACGUACGAGAUACAAUUCAUUUGAAUUUUUCUCACGCUCUUAUUGGUAAAUUUGGUGAGAUUUUGUCCAAAGACAAUUGUUCUGUGCGUUAAAACACAAAAUGUUGUUCUUAUUAUGGACAUUAUCUUAUUCUUCAAAAUUUAUACGCAACAUGAGAGACAAUAAGUACGUCUGGGCAGUUUGCUUGCGGGUUGUCACAACAGGCUGAGCAGACUUUGCGAAGAAAUUCGUGAAGCAGGUCAUACAAGCAUCUACAGCAUCAAGUCACAGGGUUGGCAAGUGUAUUUUUGAACCUUCAAAGCAGUCACGCAUACGGAAGAGUAGUUUCUGAUCCCAUAGAAGGAGCACCGUACGAUGAGAGACCGCUCUUAGUUCUAAGGAACGCAGCAGGCGCGUAAAUUGCCCAAUGCUAGUACCCUACACGUUUUUUCAUCAACAUCUACAUACAAACACAAAUACAAAUGAACAAAAGUGUUACAAUACUUAUGCAAAGGCAUUACAAAAAUAUUUUUUGUAUUAACACACAACAAACACACACACAUACACACACAUGUAAAUUAUUUACAACAACCUUGUUACAAAGCCAAAGAAAUUGUAAUGCUUUUAUUAUUGCAUCGUGUUGUCGCAUUAAUUGCACAACUAGAUGUAGAAAUGAAAACACAUUUACACUGAGGCAGUGACAAGCUGUAACGGUUGAGUAUACAAUCUAGAGAGUGUUCGGCAUUGUCGUACAGUCUUCGGGCUGUGCUUGACUUUUUGCUAGCACUUUACAUGCUCAAUUGGAAUGCGGUGAGUUUAAGCAACUCAGAACCUUUAUUAGUGUGGACAUCAUGUUUGCACUUUUUGAGUAUCUGAAAUUUCAAGUGGAGGGCAAGUCUGGUGCCAGCAGCCGCGGUAAUACCAGCUCCACUGGCCUAUACAAUCAUUGUUGCGGUUAAGAGGCUCGUAGUUGGAUUGAACACUUUUGUGCAUGUUUUGAAUUAAUUGAAAAUAUUGCAAAAUACAAAAGUUUUCGACACAUAGUACUAACAAUCACACUUACAAAUACAUUUACAUAUUAAAAUGUUUUCAUUUUGAUUUUAAAUCAACUUUGUUGUUGGGAAAAAUUUGUUGUAUUGAACCUAUUACUCUUGUAAAAAGAGUAUUGUUCAACACUGUGAACAAAUCAGAGUGUAUCAAACAUGUUGUUUCUUACUUGUGCAUUGAAUGUCUUAUCAUGGAAUGUUGCACUUGUAAUUCUACAAACAAUAUGAACAAUUUGACUACGAAACCAACUCUAUCAAAAACACAAACACUGAUUUAUUUUAUUGAUGGAGAUUUGAACUCAUACAACAUACAAACACACACACACAGUAUGAAUUUAAAGUUCAAACAAUUACAGUGAUUUUAAAAUUUGUUGACAUUUUAUUAUCAUUUUCGUUUGUAAUUACUUGUGUCGAUGGGGAUAGUUGGAGUCAAGAGUACUGCUGGGCGAGAGGUGAAAUUCUCUGACCCUAGCAAGACUACCAAAAGCGAAAGCACUUGACUAGGCUAUACUCUUUGUGCUUUUUGUUUAUCUUCAUUUACAUUGUACAUUAAGUAUCACACACACACACACAUAACUAUAAUGGUACAACAAUGUGUAAUUGUACUUGAAUUUUCUAACAAAAUUACACUUUACAAUGAAGAACGAAGGUUGGGGGAUCAAAGAGGAUCAGAUACCCUCGUCGUCCCAUUCAUUACAUCAAACGAUGGGCUCUCAAUUGCAUUUUUUAUAAUGGCAUUUGUCCUCAACCUGCAAAUAUUUUGGGCUUGAGCAUUCUCUUUUAAUCUUUAAAGAGUAUUGCUCGCCUGUAUUAUUUGUGUACUGGUCUCGUAGUGAUAUUUACUAUUGCAUAUAUCAUGAUUUUCAAGACGUGUUUUUCACUACUAUUGUGAUAACACUUGAUUAUCGGAGCUUUGCGCUCAAUUGGUGAGAUGUAAGCACAAUACAAACUGCCCAUCUCUGUUUUGUAAUAGUCUUUCAUUUAAUUUAAAUAGAAGGCUGUUCUAGCGGAGGUUGGUGUAGUUUUGUAAUUCUAAUUCGUGCAAAGCACGCUUUAGGCACGCGCUUACUGCAGAAAUGUCUGAGACAUUCCCCUCCGGGGGUAGUAUGCACGCAAGUGUGAAACUUGAAGGAAUUGACGGAAGGGCACCACAAGAACGCGUGGAGCAUGUGGCUUAAUUUGACUCAACGCGGGAAANCUUACCGGGUCCGGACACACUGAGGAUUGACAGGCGCAAAAUGUAUUUUUUUUAAAUGCAUAUACAAAUAUGCUAGUCCUUUCAUGAUUAUGUGAUAGGUGGUGCAUGGCCGUUCUUAGUUCGUGGAGUGAUCUGUCUGCUUAAUUGCGUUUCACAGCGAAUUUAUUACUAUGUACGUGAUGCAGCUGUUUAGCCAUUUGUUUUUAAAUGCAAGUGCGCUUGUAACGUUGUGUCAUUUCGUGCAAACAAAUUCGGAAAGCAACGAACGUGACCGCAACCUCUCGUUGCCUUUAUUUUUCUUCAUAACAGUAUUUAUACUGGAAUGUAAGAAAAGAACAUUGAGUUUUCAAAGAAUGAAUGUUAUAUUUUUUUAAAUGUAAUUAUUUGUUCUUUUGUGUCUUUUUGUUUCAUUAAGGCCUAAAACUAGAGGGACCGCUGUCCUAAACUUUUAAACCAGAGGAAGGAUGCGGCAAUAACAGGUCUGUGAUGCCCUUCGAUGUUCCGGGCUGCACACGUGCUACAAUGAUUAUGGCAGUGAGCAUCUUAUUUCAAAGCUACCACAGUUUAUUGCACACUUUAAACGCAGUGUAGUGCGAAUUUUUCAUACACGCUUACUUAAAAAAGUAAUAGUUGCUUCUUGUUUCGAAAUUUUUGUUCAUGUUUCAUUGGCACUUGAUCAUUUUUUGUUCUUGUGUUGAUGAACUUGUCAAGUUUUUUGUUGAUGAGUUGCAAAUUUUGCUUUGAGCAUGUUUGUUUAAUUCAAUCUCAUUGUUAGUGCAUAUUCGUUGUGGUUUAGCUAAGCCUGCUUCGAAAGUGAGUGGGUAAGCAAUUGAAAGUCAUGAUUUCCAUAUUAGCUACAAACUACACAUCUGCUGAGUUGAUAAAGGUUUUAUUUUUAUAUUAAUAUGGCUUUCAGUUGUAUUAGUAUUUGCAAUAAUCCUUAAUGCGACCCGGAUAUGUUGCUACAAUUAAAAUUCAAGGUGGGGACAGACCAUUGUUAAUUGUUGGUCUCGGUCCUAACUAGGAAUGCCUUGUACGGGUCUUGGUUCAACAAACCACCCGGAAUACGUCCCUGCCCUUUGUACACACCGCCCGUCGCUCUUACCGAUGGACUUCUCUGUGAGUUUGAAGGACUGGAUUUGCACUCUGAUAUUUUUCGGAAUAUUGGUUUCGUCUAUGGAAACUCAAACGAACAGGGUGGUCUAAAGGAAAGAGAAGUCGUAACAAGGCAUCGGUAGGUGAACCU